RNAcentral lists this long non-coding RNA (230 nucleotides) under Elaeis guineensis (African oil palm). RNAcentral describes it as "long non-coding RNA (EGUI_LNC023546)". The record is from RNAcentral. Lineage: Eukaryota; Viridiplantae; Streptophyta; Magnoliopsida; Arecales; Arecaceae.
CAAUAUAAGUUUGUGAAUGAUUUGAUACUUUGUACAAAAUUUUUCAAACUUGGCAUUGUUAAAUUGUCAGCCAUUGUUUGUGAUGAUUACUCGGGAUAGAUCAAAUUGAUAUAUAAUCAAUUUUCAUAGAAAAUCUAUAGUUUUUCUUUUUGUUAUUUGUGCCAAAAGCUCGACUUCCAUCCACUUAGUAAAGUAGUCGAUGGCAAUGAUAAUGAACUUUCUUUCUCUAC